RNAcentral lists this ribosomal RNA (245 nucleotides) under Listeria monocytogenes. Its description in RNAcentral is "partial 23S ribosomal RNA". It matches the Rfam family "Bacterial large subunit ribosomal RNA", at positions 387 to 634 of the family's 2925-position model. Lineage: Bacteria; Bacillati; Bacillota; Bacilli; Caryophanales; Listeriaceae. The record is from RNAcentral.
GCUUUCCCUCCAGAGUGGAUCCUGAGUACGGCGGAACACGUGAAAUUCCGUCGGAAUCCGGGAGGACCAUCUCCCAAGGCUAAAUACUCCCUAGUGACCGAUAGUGAACCAGUACCGGGAGGGAAAGGUGAAAAGCACCCCGGAAGGGGAGUGAAACAGUUCCUGAAACCGUGUGCCUACAAGUAGUUAGAGCCCGUUAAUGGGUGAUAGCGUGCCUUUUGUAGAAUGAACCGGCGAGUUACGAU